GUGACCACAGCCAUGGCUGCUGCGUGUGAACAGCCCACAGGUGACCAGCGCUGCUUCCUUCCCCUGCUUGUCCCCGGUGCCUCUGAGCAUGAGACUCGACAGCAUUCUCCCCAAAGCAAGCAGCAGUCAGUCCCGCCCUGGGCAUGCAGGCCUUGGGCCUGGCCACUCGUGUCUGUUCUCGCAGUGCAAGCUCCCGCCUCCCUUGGGUCGCACGCUGCUGGACUGUGGCGUCUCUGGGGCACAGGUGUGGACUUCCCAGGCCCAAAAGCCACAGAUGAGCAUUGGGUUGAAAGAGCGAGUCCCUGAGACCUGGGGAGGGGACCGAGGCCAUGGAGGAGGUGGGAAUGCAGAGUGCUACUGUGCUUAAUAAACUUUUGCUGCUU
Molecule: long non-coding RNA, 383 nt
Filed under: Homo sapiens (human)
Lineage: Eukaryota; Metazoa; Chordata; Mammalia; Primates; Hominidae
Description: HSALNT0156708
Source: RNAcentral